GUAAGACUAAUUUAAUGGUAAAAUGCUUCAUUGUGGUUGAAGUCACCUCAGUUCGAUUCUGUGGUUUUACC
Apiotrichum porosum is the source of this 71-nucleotide non-coding RNA. NCBI's taxonomy places the organism in Eukaryota, Fungi, Basidiomycota, Tremellomycetes, Trichosporonales, Trichosporonaceae. The record is from the annotation of a RefSeq genome assembly.